AAAUGCCUCCAUGAGAUCCAGCUGUAAGGCAUUUUCUCAAUUAGUGAUCAGAAAGGAAAAGCUCAGCCCAUUGUGGGUGGUACCAUACCUGGGCUUGGUGGCUCUGG
This 107-nucleotide microRNA precursor is filed under the name Microtus ochrogaster (prairie vole). Its description in RNAcentral is "miRNA (ENSMOCG00000009014.1)". The record is from RNAcentral. Lineage: Eukaryota; Metazoa; Chordata; Mammalia; Rodentia; Cricetidae.